RNAcentral lists this ribosomal RNA (492 nucleotides) under uncultured bacterium. RNAcentral describes it as "partial 16S ribosomal RNA". It matches the Rfam family "Bacterial small subunit ribosomal RNA", at positions 29 to 507 of the family's 1533-position model. The record is from RNAcentral.
AGUGAACGCUGGCGGUAGGCCUAACACAUGCAAGUCGAACGGCAGCACAGUAAGAGCUUGCUCUUACGGGUGGCGAGUGGCGGACGGGUGAGGAAUACAUCGGAAUCUACUUUUUCGUGGGGGAUAACGUAGGGAAACUUACGCUAAUACCGCAUACGACCUACGGGUGAAAGCAGGGGAUCUUCGGACCUUGCGCGAUUGAAUGAGCCGAUGUCGGAUUAGCUAGUUGGCGGGGUAAAGGCCCACCAAGGCGACGAUCCGUAGCUGGUCUGAGAGGAUGAUCAGCCCCACUGGAACUGAGACACGGUCCAGACUCCUACGGGAAGCAGCAGUGGGGAAUAUUGGACAAUGGGCGCAAGCCUGAUCCAGCCAUACCGCGUGGGUGAAGAAGGCCUUCGGGUUGUAAAGCCCUUUUGUUGGGAAAGAAAAGCAGCAGGUUAAUACCCCGCUGUUCUGACGGUACCCAAAGAAUAAGCACCGGCUAACUUCGUG